GAUAUCUUCCUUUGAGUAUACUCAAACUGUUGAAAUUAGUAAAUAUUAAAGAAACAUGUGAAUGUGUUUCAUUAUAGUGUAAUGGUAAAUAUUUUUGCUAAUAAUAGUAAAGUAAUACGGUCGUCUGAAUGUAUAGAAACUAUCGUCAACUCUUUAAAUUCUCAUUUGUCAACAUGCUGUUUUCUUCAGGGUUGGAACUACCAAAAGUUUUAGACAGUACAACUAACCAUGGCUGCCACCUCUGCCGAAACAAAUCUGAGUAAUAAACCUUAGUAAACCGA
Molecule: long non-coding RNA, 281 nt
Filed under: Mytilus galloprovincialis (Mediterranean mussel)
Lineage: Eukaryota; Metazoa; Mollusca; Bivalvia; Mytilida; Mytilidae
Source: RNAcentral